Molecule: unclassified non-coding RNA, 249 nt
Filed under: plant metagenome
Description: partial contains 5.8S ribosomal RNA, internal transcribed spacer 2, and large subunit ribosomal RNA
Rfam family: Bacterial small subunit ribosomal RNA
Source: RNAcentral
AGGGUGCGAGCGUUAAUCGGAAUUACUGGGCGUAAAGCGUGCGCAGGCGGUUAUGUAAGACAGAUGUGAAAUCCCCGGGCUCAACCUGGGAACUGCAUUUGUGACUGCAUGGCUAGAGUACGGUAGAGGGGGAUGGAAUUCCGCGUGUAGCAGUGAAAUGCGUAGAUAUGCGGAGGAACACCGAUGGCGAAGGCAAUCCCCUGGACCUGUACUGACGCUCAUGCACGAAAGCGUGGGGAGCAAACAGGA